This is a non-coding RNA of Parasteatoda tepidariorum (common house spider), 378 nucleotides long. NCBI's taxonomy places the organism in Eukaryota, Metazoa, Arthropoda, Arachnida, Araneae, Theridiidae. The record is from RefSeq and is a predicted model, not a curated record.
AGGACUUUUAAUCUGAACUAUAAACUUAGAACUUUGAAUCACAUAUGACCUUUUAGUUUUAUGUCUCAACUGAAUCGGUUAGAAGUGCUUCGGGCUUAAUGCCGAGAUUUCACUCAUAUCCAGCAGAGAAACUAGUCUAGUGCUGCAACAAAGAAUGUUGAUUUGGGCUCCGAAUCGCUGAAGAAUCUUAGCACAUAAAAGUACUGCCGAAAACUGUGGAACUUGUCGGGACUGAUUGGAUUAAUUUUAGUUCUGAGUUUCUCGGUGCAAGCUUCAACUAAUUACCUUUCCGGGCGCUAUAUCUUUUUCUUAAUACACUCAAGUAUUUUCAUUAGAACUCUGUGUAUUUUUCUAAUUAAAGCCGUUUGCUUUUCGCAA